Molecule: ribosomal RNA, 661 nt
Filed under: uncultured bacterium
Lineage: Bacteria
Description: bacterial SSU rRNA
Rfam family: Bacterial small subunit ribosomal RNA
Source: RNAcentral
ACACAUGCAGUCGGACGGUAGCACAGAGAGCUUGCUCUUGGGUGACGAGUGGCGGACGGGUGAGUAAUGUCUGGGGAUCUGCCCGAUAGAGGGGGAUAACCACUGGAAACGGUGGCUAAUACCGCAUAACGUCGCAAGACCAAAGAGGGGGACCUUCGGGCCUCUCACUAUCGGAUGAACCCAGAUGGGAUUAGCUAGUAGGCGGGGUAAUGGCCCACCUAGGCGACGAUCCCUAGCUGGUCUGAGAGGAUGACCAGCCACACUGGAACUGAGACACGGUCCAGACUCCUACGGGAGGCAGCAGUGGGGAAUAUUGCACAAUGGGCGCAAGCCUGAUGCAGCCAUGCCGCGUGUAUGAAGAAGGCCUUCGGGUUGUAAAGUACUUUCAGCGGGGAGGAAGGCGAUGGGGUUAAUAACCUUAUCGAUUGACGUUGCCCGCAGAAGAAGCACCGGCUAACUCCGUGCCAGCAGCCGCGGUAAUACGGAGGGUGCAAGCGUUAAUCGGAAUUACUGGGCGUAAAGCGCACGCAGGCGGUCUGUUAAGUCAGAUGUGAAAUCCCCGGGCUUAACCUGGGAACUGCAUUUGAAACUGGCAGGCUUGAGUCUUGUAGAGGGGGGUAGAAUUCCAGGUGUAGCGGUGAAAUGCGUAGAGAUCUGGAGG